RNAcentral lists this ribosomal RNA (406 nucleotides) under uncultured bacterium. Its description in RNAcentral is "partial 16S ribosomal RNA". It matches the Rfam family "Bacterial small subunit ribosomal RNA", at positions 30 to 526 of the family's 1533-position model. The record is from RNAcentral.
AUUGAACGCUGGCGGCAGGCCUAACACAUGCAAGUCGAACGAGUGGCGGACGGGUGAGUAAUGUCUGGGAAACUGCCUGAUGGAGGGGGAUAACUACUGGAAACGGUAGCUAAUACCGCAUACCAUCAGAUGUGCCCAGAUGGGAUUAGCUAGUUGGUGGGGUAACGGCUCACCAAGGCGACUAUCCCUAGCUGGUCUGAGAGGAUGACCGGCCACACGGGAACUGAGACGCGGUCCAGACUCCUAAGGGAGGCAGCAGUGGGGAAUAUUGCACAAUUGGGGCAAGCAUGAUGCAGCCAUGCCGAGUGUAUGAAGAAGGCCUUCGGGUUGGAAAGUACUGUCAGCGGGGAGGCGUUAGCCGCAGAAGAAGCACCGGCUAACUCCGUGCCAGCAGCCGCGGUAAUUC